This 253-nucleotide ribosomal RNA is filed under the name uncultured bacterium. RNAcentral describes it as "partial 16S ribosomal RNA". It matches the Rfam family "Bacterial small subunit ribosomal RNA", at positions 524 to 776 of the family's 1533-position model. The record is from RNAcentral.
UACGUAGGGGGCUAGCGUUGUCCGGAUUUAUUGGGCGUAAAGAGCGUGUAGGCGGCCAGGUAGGUCCGGUGUGAAAACUCGAGGCUUAACCUCGAGAUGUCAUCGGAAACCAUCUGGCUAGAGUCCGGAAGAGGAAAGUGGAAUUCCUGGUGUAGCGGUGAAAUGCGCAGAUAUCAGGAAGAACACCCGUGGCUAAGGCGGCUCUCUAGUACGGUACUGACGCUGAGACGCGAAAGCGUGGGGAGCGAACAGG